UAGUGAACUCAGACUCGGAGA
Molecule: unclassified non-coding RNA, 21 nt
Filed under: Mus musculus (house mouse)
Lineage: Eukaryota; Metazoa; Chordata; Mammalia; Rodentia; Muridae
Description: oocyte_clustered_small_RNA13514
Source: RNAcentral